AAGUCCCGUAACGAGCGCAACCCCCGUCUUUAGUUGCUACCAUUUAGUUGAGCACUCUAAAGAGACUGCCGGUGAUAAGCCGCGAGGAAGGUGGGGAUGACGUCAAGUCCUCAUGGCCCUUACGGGCUGGGCUACACACGUGCUACAAUGGCGGUGACAAUGGGAUGCUAAGGGGCGACCCCUCGCAAAUCUCAAAAAGCCGUCUCAGUUCGGAUUGGGCUCUGCAACUCGAGCCCAUGAAGUUGGAAUCGCUAGUAAUCGUGGACCAGCAUGCCACGGUGAAUACGUUCCCGGGCCUUGUACACACCGCCCGU
This 314-nucleotide ribosomal RNA is filed under the name uncultured soil bacterium. RNAcentral's name for it is "bacterial SSU rRNA". It matches the Rfam family "Bacterial small subunit ribosomal RNA", at positions 1082 to 1397 of the family's 1533-position model. The record is from RNAcentral.